This 253-nucleotide ribosomal RNA is filed under the name uncultured bacterium. RNAcentral's name for it is "partial 16S ribosomal RNA". It matches the Rfam family "Bacterial small subunit ribosomal RNA", at positions 524 to 776 of the family's 1533-position model. The record is from RNAcentral.
UACAGAUGUCUCAAGCGUUGUUCGGAUUCAUUGGGCGUAAAGGGUGCGUAGGCGGCGCGGUAAGUCGGGUGCGAAAUCUCGGAGCUUAACUCCGAAACUGCAUUCGAUACUGCCGUGCUUGAGGACUGGAGAGGAGACUGGAAUUUACGGUGUAGCGGUGAAAUGCGUAGAUAUCGUAAGGAAGACCAGUGGCGAAGGCGGGUCUCUGGACAGUUCCUGACGCUGAGGCACGAAGGCCAGGGGAGCAAACGGG